RNAcentral lists this unclassified non-coding RNA (780 nucleotides) under Hevea brasiliensis (rubber tree). Lineage: Eukaryota; Viridiplantae; Streptophyta; Magnoliopsida; Malpighiales; Euphorbiaceae. The record is from RNAcentral.
AAUAACUGCUACAAGUAACUGUUCACACCGAAACUCAUCCCUAACAAUUCAUGCUGGCUGUUUUAAUGACUCAUGCCAACUCACUUAACUACACUAGGCUUAUUCUUUCUAAACCAAGUUCUCUUGUAUGUAACUAUACCCACUUCUUUAGCACAUUCUUGUCCCAAGGAAUGUGCAAAAUCAGGAAAUUGGUUGAGGAGGAAAGCUUUGUCUUCCCAAGUGGCAUCUUCAACAGCCAAGUGCUUCCAUUUAAUAAGAACUUGAUCCACUUGUUGACCAUUUCUGAAAAUUAGUCUAGAUUUCAACACUUGUUCUGGAACAACUUCCACCACAUCUUCUUAAAAAACUAGAAGCUCUAUCAUAGGCACCACAUUUUCCCCUACCUUCUUUUUAAGCAAGGAAACAUGAAACACAGGAUGUAUAGAUGAUGAGGGUGGCAAAUCCAACUUAUAAGCAACAGCUCCAACCCUUGCAAGCAGUUUAUAAGGCCCAUAAAACCUUGCUGACAGUUUCAGUGAUUUUCAGAUAGCCGCUGAAGAUUGCCUAUAGGGUUGCAAUUUCAAGUAAACCAUAUCUCCAACCUGGAAUUCUCUUUCAGUCCUCUUCUUAUCCACCUGUUGCUUCAUUCUAUUCCUUGCAAUCUCCAAAUUAGCCUUCAAUAAAGCUGUCAUUUGCUACCGUUCCUAGAAAAAUUCUUGCAACUGUCCAACUGAAACUUGCUCAAGCGGCACAGCAGGUAGAAUAGGUGGAUAAUACCCAUAGAGAGCCUCAAAUGGAGUC